RNAcentral lists this ribosomal RNA (253 nucleotides) under uncultured bacterium. RNAcentral's name for it is "partial 16S ribosomal RNA". It matches the Rfam family "Bacterial small subunit ribosomal RNA", at positions 524 to 776 of the family's 1533-position model. The record is from RNAcentral.
UACGUAGGGACCAAGCGUUGUUCGGAUUUACUGGGCGUAAAGGGCGCGUAGGCGGCAAUUCAAGUCAGCUGUGAAAUCUCCAAGCUUAACUUGGAACGGUCAGCUGAUACUGAUGUGCUAGAGUGCAGAAGGGGCAAUCGGAAUUCUUGGUGUAGCGGUGAAAUGCGUAGAUAUCAAGAGGAACACCUGAGGUGAAGACGGGUUGCUGGGCUGACACUGACGCUGAGGCGCGAAAGCUAGGGUAGCAAACGGG